CGGGAAGAGCUCAAAUUUAAAAUCUGGCAGGCUACGCUUGUCCGAAUUGUAAUCUCGAGAAGUGUUUUCCGCGUUGGCCUGUGUACAAGUCCCUUGGAACAGGGCGUCAUAGAGGGUGAGAAUCCCGUCCUUGACACAGACACCCAAUGCUUUGUGAUACACUCUCAAU
This 169-nucleotide ribosomal RNA is filed under the name Cystofilobasidium sp. RNAcentral's name for it is "partial large subunit ribosomal RNA". It matches the Rfam family "Eukaryotic large subunit ribosomal RNA", at positions 99 to 261 of the family's 3401-position model. Lineage: Eukaryota; Fungi; Basidiomycota; Tremellomycetes; Cystofilobasidiales; Cystofilobasidiaceae. The record is from RNAcentral.